GCUGCGGGCUGGAGGUUACGUAACGGCGGCUGCGUGCGCCGCGGCUCGAGCUCUGCCUCCGCGGAGGCCUGGGCCCUCGUGGCUGCUUUCGGCGCUGCCUGACUCCCUCUCUGCUGUUGCUUUUGUGCCAGAUUUUUUUUUUUUUUUUAACCAAGUCAAAGCCUCAAACAUUGAAUCACCGAUUGAAGAAAGGGGAUGGGGAACAGCAGUCUUAGAUGAUGUGAAUAAAUAAGAGGGCACAGUUGGGGACUUGAUAUUUUGCACUUCCUCGGCUCUCUACUCUCAGUCCAACAGGGUUUGGAAAUGGGGACGUUCCGUGAACUGCUGUAAAGUGCAUAUGAGACGACAAGGAUGCUUCUAUCACUACUUAUAUUCAUUGAAGGUUCUGGCAGUGGGUGAAUCCUGUUCUGAGAAGCUUUGUGACGUGAGGUUUGAAAAAGAAUCCAAUAGAACCUCUACAGACUUCAUUCAAGAAUCCUCUUUGACUCCAGAAGAAGAGGGUAAGAGAUUAUGCUUCAUACCCCUUUCUGGAGUCUCUUCAUGAGGAAGUCGGAGCCUCCAGGCUUUUGUCCUAGGCUUGGAUAUUUGGCCUUUAGCUUUGCCUCCUCAGCUCUCUCAGGGAGAAUACCUUCUUUCUCCUGUGUGUCCUGGAGGAAACAAAUGAGCCAAAUAAAAUUAAAGACUGAGAAACAACUGCUUCUAAUAACCCUUAAGCCAUGAACUUUCCCUGGAGAUUCACCCACUUGUAAACAUGCUAUCUCUACUUUGCUGUUAAAGCUAGACCUUAGUUCAAAUCCCUAAAGCUCAAGAUGACUCUAUUGUGAGAAGAAAAAGACAAGCUGCUUCUCACACUCCACCCAAGGAACCACGCCAGUGACCUGUGAGUAUUGGGUUAAAGGUAAUACCUAAACAGAAUACUUUAAUCAAAGAGCGGGCCAUAGCUCACUCAGCACAGAUGCUAAGAAAAGAGCUAGCCAGGGCUUCUGGUGAUACAAGAUGAGUAGGAGGGUUCCCUAGGUUGACCUACAAGUUAAAUUGGAAAUCAAAGGGAAUAAGUUUGCUAGAUGUUUCCUGCUUAUUCAGAGUUUAAGAUAGCCAUCUGCUAAGUCUCCCUGUGGAGGAGGCUAGCUAUGUGGCCUUUCCCAAAGAUCUCUACCUGAGUAAUGACACAACACUGAUUCAAAAUUUCCAUAAAUAUUGCGGCAGGAAGGUGAUCAGUAAAUAGAUGAAAAUGACACUGUUUUUAACUUAAGGAAAAUAAAGAUACAGUAAAUUCACUAGUUUUUACCCACCAGUUUUAACCAAAAUAUCAAUACCUACUCUAGUGGGGCAAGUGAUGGGGAAGCUUGGGGAAAUGCCAAAAGCUCAAUUGGCUUGCAGGGGUUCUCACUAUUGUCAAUCUCUUCUUGCUUUUUGUGGGCUCUGAUGUCCUUUUCACUAGCAGCUUUUUUUUUUCUUUUUUUAGACACAGGGUCUGCUCUGCCACCCAGGCUGGAG
Molecule: long non-coding RNA, 1497 nt
Organism: Lemur catta (Ring-tailed lemur)
Lineage: Eukaryota; Metazoa; Chordata; Mammalia; Primates; Lemuridae
Exons: 4
Source: RefSeq, a predicted model, not a curated record